UCUUUCUCUUUCCUUCUUAUUUCUUCUUCUUCUAUGUUCUUCAUCUUCUCUUCUAUGUUUAAGCCGACCUCAGAGAUUUGAGUGUUUAUUUGUACGAGGAUCCUUGUAGAUCUUGUUAUCCUUAUCGGUUGAAGACGAAGGUGAUGGUGCUGAAGUUGUUUAGUCACAGGAAGAAGCAAAAAAAGGGUAAGCUAUUUAGGGUUUCUGCUUUGAUUGAAUUUCUUUAUGAAAUUAAGUUUGUUUGGUGUUGUGUUUCAUGGGUUUGCUGUUAAUUGGAGUAGGAAGAGUUGCAUAAGGUUUAAUUUUGGUUUCUUUAGGAAAUUAAGAUUAGGGUUCACGAGUUUGAAUUAUUGAUGAAGAAGGUGGGUUUAACAGUGAUGAAUCGAAGAAGAACUGAUGUUGUUUCAAGCUUGUGUUUGUGCUUGAAAUUGGGUUUUGAUUCAGGGCUUCGUAAAGAGUAAAUAAGAAUUUAUGGAUUUGAAGAGGGUUUAAUAUUGGGGGUUUUCCCUGGUUCGGAAUCUACUAUGAAUUGGGUUGACAUAGGAGAAGAUUCAGUGAAGAAUUGGCGUUGUUGGAAUUGGAGUUAUCAUGGUUUGGUCUUUGGUGAUAGGAUUGUUAGUGUUAAAUAGUGGAUGUUACAGGGAAUUAUUGGUUGGUAUUGGGAGGAAGAUUGAAUCGGUGUAUUUGAACGAUUAUGUAUGUGUGUUAGUUUGGAGAUACCAUGUCUUAAUAAUGGAGCUAAUUAUGAAUUGCCUGAGUUGGUAAUGAUGUUGCUGAUGAAGCUCAAGUGACAGGUGAAGUUGAGUUAGUGGAUUUGAUUUAUGAGAUUGCUGACUUGAGGAGUUUGGUAAUGAAACUGAGACUUUGGUGGUAGUGAUAUUGAAUUAGUAUGUGUUGGGCUGGUGCAAGUAUAAUCUGGAGAUGAAGUCAGUUAAUGAAGAUAAAGAUGAUGUUGAAGAUACUUUGAGGAUGUGUUUGUUCAGUUGAGCCUAACUGAGAUGUUGAUGGUUGGUAACUGUAGUUUUAAAUUGAUUUAUAGGGUAUGAAGAUGAAUUAGAUACUAGAGUUGUAAAUGGUGCUUUGCAGCGGCAGUAGAGGUGGAGAUGAGUUUGGAACUGGAGUUGUUGAAGUUGCAAGAAACGUAUUGAUGACGUUGUUAUGAAGAUAAAAGGUAUGGCUGGAUAUUGAGUUGGUAACACAAGUGAAGCUGUUGAUGCUGAACUGGUGAGAUCAAUGAGGAGCCGAGAGUGAGGUGUUGUGAACUGAGUUAAUGAUGGAAUGUGGUAGCUGCAAAUGAAGUUGUAAGUUAUAAUGAAGGUGUUGGCUCGGGCAGCUAGUUUGGUUGGUUUUAAAGAGAUAUAGAAAUCUCAGUUUAGGAAGUCGAUUGUGUAUAUGAUUGUUUUGUUUGGAAUGAAACUUAUGAAAAGGCCGGAAGAGUAUGUGGAUGAGCUUUAAAUGAUGGGAUUGAUGAUAUGAAGAUUGUUUGGUGUCAGAAUUGCAGUUAGAACAAAUUGUACGAUUGAAAAUGUAUUAGAUUUCUGUUGUGUUUAAAUUAUAAAGUUUUGUUAGAAUGAAUAGAUUGAAUUUGAGCUAGGAUUAGAGUCUCAGCUGUAUGUGAACCUUAAGCAUGUAUGACUGAACUUAUUCAGUCUGUUUUAGUUAUGUAUAGCUGACUCAGUGUCUGACUGAGUUAGAUCGUUGACUGAGUUAACCCUUGAGUUGACCUGACCUUGACUAGAUUCUGACCUAGACUUAGAUGUUGACUGUUAGGUUGACCGUGGACUGUCAGUUUGACCGUUAGUGACUGUUAGUUGACUAGGAUGACUCUAUUUUCCUAAAUUGAUAUCUUGGACCCCUUACGGUCAGAAUUAGCCUUUGGAUUCUUCUACAAAGUUGUAGACAUUCUUGAGACUUAGAUAAUGGACUAUCGAACCAACCUAAUUGGAUUAGUAAACUCUUAAUUAUGUUAAAGGUAGAGAAUGAGAUACCAUAAUGGGCUUAGAACCAUUAGAUGGUUCACUAAACUUAUAACUAGAGCAUUGUUUGAGAUUAUGUUAUGAGCCUUGUAUGAGCCUUUUGGCUAAACCCUUAGAGUGAUUGUAUGAUUAACAAUUAAUCUAUAUUAACAACGAUCUAUUCAAGAAUGAACCAGUGGAUCGUGCAUCUCGAGGUAGGCGAGGCUUGUCACCAAAAGAGUUUCAGAGACAGAUCAAGAUGUGCAUGUGACAAUGAAAGCUUCGAAGAAUUAGUUACAUUAAUUAGUUAGCUUCCGCUAUGUUAUUAUGUAUUUGUAUUCUAUUUGUAAAUCAACUCAUUAUUGAAUAUGUAUCAUUUGAGAGAAGUUCUUGUUUAUAUGUUUUCUAAGCGGGGUAAGUUUUUGGGUUAAGUUUUGUAGCAGAUAUAUUAAUUGAAUGUUUAAGUAUAUGAUUUAGAA
Long non-coding RNA from Papaver somniferum (opium poppy), 2434 nucleotides. RefSeq lists it as uncharacterized. The record is from RefSeq and is a predicted model, not a curated record. The transcript has 2 exons. Lineage: Eukaryota; Viridiplantae; Streptophyta; Magnoliopsida; Ranunculales; Papaveraceae.